Alternaria alternata is the source of this 223-nucleotide small nucleolar RNA. It matches the Rfam family "Fungal small nucleolar RNA U3". Rfam says of the family: Small nucleolar RNAs (snoRNAs) are involved in the processing and modification of rRNA in the nucleolus. There are two main classes of snoRNAs: the box C/D class, and the box H/ACA class. The record is from Rfam. NCBI's taxonomy places the organism in Eukaryota, Fungi, Ascomycota, Dothideomycetes, Pleosporales, Pleosporaceae.
GUCGAUCAUACUUCAUAGAAUCAUUUCUAAUAGUAUGCAUCCUCUUCUGAGUUACUCUAAGUAGCCACAGAAUCUCCAUCCUGGUUGAUGACUAUCAGCCUCGGUGUCCUAGAGUGAGGCCUUAUUUACGAUUGCUUCGGCGAUCGUGGCGAUGACCUUGUGCUAACCAGCUGUGUACUUCGGUCGCACUGGAAGGCAGGACGUUGACGGCAAUCUGACAGGC